GGUCAAGAAUCUAUGUGGAACAUAGAUUUCCACAAAGCAGCAAAGGGGAGUCGGCAAAUAGAAUCUGUACCACUAACUGCAGAAGCACGGCAUGUGAGCGACGAGGAGAAAACAUUUU
This 118-nucleotide ribosomal RNA is filed under the name Thalassiosira rotula. RNAcentral's name for it is "partial Eukaryotic large subunit ribosomal RNA". The record is from RNAcentral. Lineage: Eukaryota; Bacillariophyta; Thalassiosirophyceae; Thalassiosirales; Thalassiosiraceae.